GGACGGGUGAGUAAUGCCUAGGAAAUUGCCCUGAUGUGGGGGAUAACCAUUGGAAACGAUGGCUAAUACCGCAUGAUGCCUACGGGCCAAAGAGGGGGACCUUCGGGCCUCUCGCGUCAGGAUAUGCCUAGGUGGGAUUAGCUAGUUGGUGAGGUAAGGGCUCACCAAGGCGACGAUCCCUAGCUGGUCUGAGAGGAUGAUCAGCCACACUGGAACUGAGACACGGUCCAGACUCCUACGGGAGGCAGCAGUGGGGAAUAUUGCACAAUGGGCGCAAGCCUGAUGCAGCCAUGCCGCGUGUGUGAAGAAGGCCUUC
This 316-nucleotide ribosomal RNA is filed under the name Vibrio parahaemolyticus. Its description in RNAcentral is "bacterial SSU rRNA". It matches the Rfam family "Bacterial small subunit ribosomal RNA", at positions 100 to 419 of the family's 1533-position model. Lineage: Bacteria; Pseudomonadati; Pseudomonadota; Gammaproteobacteria; Vibrionales; Vibrionaceae. The record is from RNAcentral.